RNAcentral lists this ribosomal RNA (253 nucleotides) under uncultured bacterium. RNAcentral's name for it is "partial 16S ribosomal RNA". It matches the Rfam family "Bacterial small subunit ribosomal RNA", at positions 524 to 776 of the family's 1533-position model. The record is from RNAcentral.
UACGUAGGGUGCAAGCGUUAAUCGGAAUUACUGGGCGUAAAGCGUGCGCAGGCGGUUUUGUAAGUCUGUCGUGAAAGCCCCGGGCUUAACCUGGGAAUUGCGAUGGAGACUGCAAGGCUUGAAUCUGGCAGAGGGGGGUAGAAUUCCACGUGCAGCAGUGAAAUGCGUAGAGAUGUGGAGGAACACCGAUGGCGAAGGCAGCCCCCUGGGUCAAGAUUGACGCUCAUGCACGAAAGCGUGGGGAGCAAACAGG